Long non-coding RNA from Polyodon spathula (Mississippi paddlefish), 853 nucleotides. RefSeq lists it as uncharacterized. The transcript has 2 exons. The record is from RefSeq and is a predicted model, not a curated record. Lineage: Eukaryota; Metazoa; Chordata; Actinopteri; Acipenseriformes; Polyodontidae.
UUAAAUGCUUGUAAUUGUACACUGUCGAUACUGUUGAGAUUCCUGUAGACUGUUGAUGGAUCUGAAAUGGAUAUGAAACUACUGCUGAUCUUUUUCUAGAACACAUGACCCUUAGAAAGUAUGAAGUCAGAAGACUGAUUAAAUAAUUCAUGUCAGAACGUUCCCAAUUAUUUUAUAUAGAGGUCAAAUAAAACCAUCAAUAAACAGGUGAUUUGUAAAAUGACUAACCUAAAACAUUUAUUUUUUCUCCUUUCAAUAUUUUUUACAGUGCAACAAUGAGAAAUGACAAACAAGUAUGUCUUGACCCUGAAACUAAAUGGCUACAGCAAUACUUGAAGAAUGCUAUCAACAAGUAAGGAGAAACACUUCUUGACAAGAUUAAAAACUCAAGAGGCAUUUGAGAACAUGUGUUGGAUUACAGCUCCUUUCAUCCAUGUAAUUUUUGUAUUCUUCUCUGGACUGCUUGCUGUAACAGCACUUAACCACCAUACCUGUAUGUUGAAGCAUUGAUUCUGCCACCUGAAUCGACACUGCCAAUAGAAAUAUAUAUGUGUAAAAUUAUAUGUAGAUUUCUUUUAUAACUAGGAUACAAGUGUCACACCUGUUUUCAGUUUAGCUGCUUGUUCCUUGAUGUUUGUGCUGGUGAACUUCAUUGUUUUUGGUCUAAAGAGUCAAACAACUAAUUGAAAUUAAUUUUUAAAGAAUAACUUAGACUGCCUUCCACCCUUAAUGCAUUUCUCAUAUGCUCCAGUCCAAAUAUUUGUACUCUUGAAUAUAUGGAGAAAACUGGUAACCUUAGUCUUGUAAGGUGUUCUCAGUUUUACAUUAUUGACACCUUCUCCUGGUGCAAAAA